RNAcentral lists this ribosomal RNA (429 nucleotides) under Gemmatimonadota bacterium. RNAcentral describes it as "Gemmatimonadetes bacterium partial 16S ribosomal RNA". It matches the Rfam family "Bacterial small subunit ribosomal RNA", at positions 355 to 776 of the family's 1533-position model. The record is from RNAcentral. Lineage: Bacteria; Pseudomonadati; Gemmatimonadota.
UAGGGAAUCUUCGGCAAUGGACGAAAGUCUGACCGAGCAACGCCGCGUGAGUGAAGAAGGUUUUCGUAUCGUAAAACUCUGUUGUUAGAGAAGAACAAGGACGUUAGUAACUGAACGUCCCCUGACGGUAUCUAACCAGAAAGCCACGGCUAACUACGUGCCAGCAGCCGCGGUAAUACGUAGGUGGCAAGCGUUGUCCGGAUUUAUUGGGCGUAAAGCGAGCGCAGGCGGUUUCUUAAGUCUGAUGUGAAAGCCCCCGGCUCAACCGGGGAGGGUCAUUGGAAACUGGGAGACUUGAGUGCAGAAGAGGGGAGUGGAAUUCCAUGUGUAGCGGUGAAAUGCGUAGAUAUAUGGAGGAACACCAGUGGCGAAGGCGGCUGUCUGGUCUGUAACUGACGCUGAGGCUCGAAAGCGUGGGGAGCAAACAGG